Long non-coding RNA from Anopheles stephensi (Asian malaria mosquito), 6292 nucleotides. RefSeq lists it as uncharacterized. The record is from RefSeq and is a predicted model, not a curated record. NCBI's taxonomy places the organism in Eukaryota, Metazoa, Arthropoda, Insecta, Diptera, Culicidae. The transcript has 3 exons.
ACCUUUCGAGGUUGUAGUGCAACGGGAGAAGAGAAGAGAUGAUUUUCAAUUCUUCAGCAGACGUUCAGUUUUGAUUAUUUUGUUUGUUGGUUAAAUAUUACUGUUCUUGCUAACGAGUUUAUUGUUUUUUCUUUUCGGGGGUUUAAACUUUAUUAUGUUUUACAUUUUUAUUUACUUUUCUAUCCAUUAAGUUUAAAAAAAUUAUCAGUUAUAGUUUGUUAAAUCCUUCUUACUUAAUUGGUAAUAACUAAUAACUUGUUUACCUUUGAUUUUAUUAAUUUUUAGAAUCUUGAAGAAGCAGCCAUUUUGGAAACUCUAUCCAUAUUUUCCCGCUCUGCACCGACGGUACAAUAAUAAACAGACAUUAUUUUUCUCAUCCCAGACUCCUCAUAUUUCCUAGCAGUGCUCCAUCCGAUACCUAUCCGCAUUGAAGAUAAAGGCAAUGCCACACAGGAUAUUCAUUUAUGGCCACGGAAAUACGCACUGAACCAGAAGCAGGCAAUAAUCGCAGGCGCUCGUCUGUUCGAUCAUCUCCAACAAACAGCCGAAUAUGACACUCGAUUGUCGAUUACCAUAAACGGUCGUACGAGUAAUAUCCGUCCUGUGAAAACGAUCGCAUCAUCACCGGGAACGGGCGCGAACGGAACGGUUCCCAUCCCAGUUGCGGCGCGAAAGAUGAAACCUUCGCCGGUGUUUGCAGAAAUAAAUAAAAUAUCCGGAAAUGAGCCGCACUAAAGUGAGCACCGGGAUGUGCGGUCAUAUUCUCGUGCACAUCUUCACGAGGCCUGCCUGCCUGCCUGCUGUUGGUCCUGUGCUGUUGGAGGAUUAUGACCGUGGAUUAUGACAUACGAGAGGGUGCAGUAAAAGCGAUUACACCCCAAAACAUUCCAUCACAGCAAGAGGACACACACGGGCACAUAAUGACGGUGAGGUGACAACGCAAAAGGGCAACUGUGUACGCUGGACGGCAUAAGAGCAGCAACGCUCAUCAAUACGACGACGACGAGGCUGCAAUUGUCGAACGUACCCGGCAAGAUGCGGCCAUCUUGAAGGUGCUGAAACGGAGCUGUGGUGUGUAUUUUGACACCUUUAUUUUCGGAGGCUGGCGGACCGUUUGUUGUUUACCUGCGGAUGGAUAUGUACACCGUUUGACACGGUUUUCUUAUCGGCGGCAUUCUUUGGCUGCUGCCGGGGACUCCUCCGCAACUGGGUUGUCACCCGAAAAAAGGUUGUGAAAGAAAGAAAGUCCGAGCGUCGGUAGCGUACCGGCGUACAACACAGUGAUCGAGAGAAUAGAAGAAUACCCCCUGGGAGUGGAAGGAACUGCUGGCAACGGUCUGGAACGGAGAGUGCGGGUUGCCGCCUCGUACGAACAGCUGCCGUUUGGAAGUUUACGGUUGAUUUGGCAUAGUUCCAGUUCCAGUUUGCCUAUUCGAAUUCUUCAACUAAUUAGUACGUCUCGUUGCAGCUACUUCGUGACUCCGUGAAGCAACUCCGCGUUGUCGCAGUAUCGGGCAGUAAAUCUUCCCCGUCCCGUGGUUACAAGCUACGGGACUUGAAAAAUUCAGUCAAGCGACACUCCAGAGAGCAAUAGGGCGCGCUGGGUGACGAGCCUUCGGUGCCGGGACCAACCAGUGAUAUCCGAACUGCAACAGUCAUUCUUCGCGAAAGGGAACAGCUCCAUGCUCACUGGCAAGAUGUAGUCCAAAACGAUAAACCAGCGACCUCUCGAUUGAACUGCCGAGUUUGUCAACGGUUCGACGAGACAAUGUCACUCCCAGAUUUUGUUGCCUUUUUCGUCUCACUAUCAGUCACCACGGCACAAGCCCUUCGAGGUUUAUGCAAAUAAUUAUGCUUAAACUGUGCUUUCUGUUUGCGAAGGGUAAUGAAUGCAUCGUGCGGAUCAAUUGCAUAGAAGAAAACCAAAAACAAAACCUCCAAAUACCUACGGACGGGCGAAACUAAUUGCACAACCGAAGGACAUUUCAUUCCCAACCCAUUCGGCCAGCUUGCUACUGCUGGUUGCACGCUGGAAUGAGGCUAGAAAGGCUUGGUUCCGAUGGGAUUGGCACCACCGUUUUGGCAUAUACGUGUGUGUUUGAUUCACCUCACGCUGCUGCUGAUCGAGUACGUUAGUCGCGGUAGUUCAUGGCAUAAUUAAAAGCAUCGGUUUUAUGCUACCGUUUAGAGUGAGACAAAAAAACAACCAAAUUCAGCCCUUUUUUCUGUCUUCUUUUCGGUGAGGUUAUCUGCAUAUGCGGGGUUUUGGAGCUUAACGGGGUUUGUCGUUUUAGGGGACACCCAGCAUUCGGAAUUGAUUCCAUAGGUCAUCUGUUGAGCAAAUAGCGCCGCGAACAAAGCGACGCCGAACGCUGAUCGGGUACGUGUGUGUGUGUGUGUGUGUGUGUGUGUGUGGAGUUGCAUAGAAUGAGACGCGAUUUAUGCUAAUUUUAACAUUAUGCUCCUCUUACUUUGCUUUGCGGCAAGUGAACACGCUUGUUAAGGGAAUGGAAUGAAAUGACAUGAGGGUUGUUUGUUUGGUAGCAGGUUAUGCUUGUAGCGAUUUUGUAUAUCAUGGGAAUGUUUCACUUCUGAUAUUUUUCGGGCCGAUAUUAUUUUUUAUUUUCAGCUUAGAACAUCUUUAGCUAUUAAUAACAUCUGCACUAUCCGAUGAUUUAUUCUUAAGACCAACAUAGAACUGAUGCAUGGUUCUCUGGCGCUCUUGGCAAAACCUCCAUCUGCUUUUCUGAAUAUCAGCAACAAAUCGCUAGGAGAUUCGGGUUUGUAAGGUUUAUUCAAAAAUAUUCAAUUUUGAGGUUUGCACAUUUCAAUAUCUGAAAACGGUGCAGGUUCGUUGAAGACUUUAGAAUAUUUCAGAGCAAAAUCAGUAGCAUGGUUCUGUAGUUUUCUCCAUUUCAGCGUCCACUUCACACAAUAAUUUUUAACUGCGGCUUACUAAAUCGACUUGCACAAAAUGUUUGCGUAUGUUGGUCAGAGUUGAUACUGCUUCUUCUUCCCCAAUGGCCUAACGACCUCUUAGGUUAUGCCUGCCAUUUUUGGCUUACUAGACUUAUCGAUACCGCUAAGUUGGAUAGUAAGUCCUCACUAUGGGGGAACGGCCCAGAUAAGAUUUAAGCCACGGUCCUGCCCUGUGAAGACCAGCGCCGUUGUCACGUCUUCUACCAUGCCGCCCUUACGUAGAAAAUUAUUUUGGAUUUAGUUUUUUUGAGGUACAAUUUAUCAUGGUCAGUCAAACCAUUGAAUUCUUAUUCUUCUUGACUUGAUUUUACCCGAGACAAUCUGGAUGGGAUUUGAAACCCCGGUCCUGCCGUGUGAAGACCGGCUCCGUUAUCACAUCGGCCACCUCGACCAUCGACCGCCCCUUAAAAUUAUUAAAUUAAAUACUAAAUACUAAAUUUCUAAGACAUCCGGAAAUUUUAUUUCUUUAUUUACUGUAUUUAGAAUUUGUUCUGGGGCCUUAGUGUGUGGUCUUCACUCGGUAGGACCGAGGAUUGAAUUCAUUUGAAGAACAGACUACUCAACUACGGAGUAUCAAUAUGUCUGGUUAGCCAGAUUGGAUGGUGGGUAUGACCUAGCAGGCCGUUAAGUAAUAUGAAUAUGAAGAAGAAAUUGUUCUUACACCUGUUUGCUUCGACUCACGAGCUGCCUGCUUCGAUUUGCGUGCCAUUACCAUCGAAAGAGCGACCCUAUGGUCGAAUCGCAUGCCGUUACUAUGGAAUCACGUGCCGAUAUCUAUGGAUUUGUGAAUGUUAGCACAUUUCAAAUUCGCUUCUUCUCUCGAAGCAAUGGUUUUUUUUUCUUAUCGCUUAAACAUACGGAUAAUUUUAACGACUAAACGCAAUAGAAAGCAUUAUUUAAAACUAUAUUACACGUGUUUUACAUAUUGUGUCAAAGCAAAAAUGAACGAUACAUACAAACUAUUUCAUGGAAUUCAAUGAAAAAUAUUGAAAAAGAAAAAAAUGAACUAAUAGCUUCAUGAACUUUUCUAAAUUUUCUUCGCCGUUCAAACCCGUCCAUUUCCGCUAGUUUAAUGUAUAAAUCACCACCAAACUCUGAAAAACUAGUCUUGUGUAUCGAUACUGUUCGAUGUUGGUAUUGUACUACACAUUUUUUCGUCAUUUACGGUUUAUUAGCCGCUUGUUCGUAUAAAAAUGCUGACGAAAUGUUUUCUAAUCGUAACGAACUAACCGGUCUGUUCAUUACACCAAAUGCAUCAUACAGGAGCAAUCAAAAAUCCAUGUAUAUCGGCACGUGAUUCCAUGGAAACGGCAUGUGAUUCGGUCGUCGUGUCGCGCAUUCGAUGGAAACGGCACGCAAAUCGAAACAAGCAGCUCAUGAGUCGCAGCAAACGGUGAGCGAUUCGACUGUAACUGUAAACAGGUGUAUCUACAUACUUUUUUAGAUGAUUUAUCUUUUUAUCGAUUAACUGGCUGCAUUCAGAGCUUUUCGUAACUCAAAUAUAUGUAACGUAAAGUAUAGAGAAGCUUUUGUGUAAAUUAGGUACUAUUUAUUAAAAUUCUUUUCAUAUUUUGUUUAUAUCUGAUUGAUAUGAUUGAUACCUUACAAAAUGACUUUAUCUUCAGCAAUUCAACUGAGACUGACUGUGACUGAAUUGAACCAUAUUUACCACCGGUCACGAAUUUUAGUUUGAACCAUCUUAUUUCCUAUCGAUUCCACCAAACUCUCCUACUGCAGCGUGUGAAGAUUUCUCACAGCGUAAACAACUUUCGGUAAUUUCCUCGCUUCAUUUCUAACCUCAACUAUCAUUCAGACAAAAGUACGUAAACGUACGGCGAUUAUGAAACGCCCAGCACAACGGUAGCAUCGAACCGGGAGUAGCACACAGGAUGGAGCCAUUUUUAUUGAUACAGCUGCACAUCGUCUAAACGGCAAUCAUUAGUGCUGUCUCCGACGACGACGACGACGACGAUCCGGAUCGUUUGUGACACAUUAGAAACACAUACGCCACAUCGGUUUUGCUUUCACAAUUUCUCACAUUACAAACAUCCACCGCAUCUCACCACCCCCUCGAUCGUCUGUGUAAGUAGAGUGAUGCUCUACAUAUUUCCCAUGGAUUCUUCUACUUUUUACACCUUCUCCGUUCUAGCUCUGGACUGUGUGGAUAGAGCACAUGGAACGGAACAUGCAAGAGCUACAAUGGGAAGAGUGCUUUCCAAACAACGGUAGCGUACGGUUGCCUCCACACGGCUACUGUGUGUGUGUGUAUGUUUGCUUAAGAAUGUCUCAAUCAUCGCUUCUUCGCUGCAUAAAGGCUGUCAUCGGAUCUCGGUUGCUCUGUUCACCGUCCUGUUUUCUUCGCAUAUGCAAACAAAUCAUCAGCAUCGCGAUGGAGGAAGCACCACUGUCAGUGGUUCGAAGCGAGACCUCUUCUUCGACGUGUUAACGGUUAUGACAUCAUCUCAUCUUGAGAACAGUUUUUAAACUGGCCCCACACACCGGUGGGAACCUUGGAAGCGAUGUCGGGUGUGUAUGAGCCGCAGCAAAUUAGUCUAAUGAUGCGUGCCAUAUCCGAAAGCCAUCAACUUCAGUCUCCACUAGUGGUGCAACUAUUUUCAGGUUUUUGGAAGAAGAUUUAUGUGUUCGCAAGAAGUUUCCGUACCACCGUACAGCAUCGCAAUGUUAAUCGUGGUCCCGUCUUCGUUCCCCAUGCCAGGUAGCCGUCUUCUCCUCCGCAAGGAACGGGGCAAAACCCGGUCCGACCUUAAGAGACCUCCAUAAUUAAUGGUGACAACACUGCUUUGGUGUGCAAUUAUUUAUAGCGCUGGUGUGUGUGUGUACCGGAGUCGAGUGCAGCCACUUGAUGGAGUAUGAAUGGCUUAUUAAAUGCAUUCGCAGCAUGCACAUACCGGCAACACCGCAAAGAAUGUGUACUCCGUGGUAUCCACCCACACGGGGGCUGGCCCCGAGUGCGUGUGCAUUCUCUUGCCCCGUGGACAACAUCUUCUCGCUAUCCGGGCCGCUACCGAGCAGCGGGAAACAGUGAAGAGGCACACGCAACUGAUACACACCCGCUGCAAAGUGCUACUGCUUCAUUAAAUCUUGCUCACCUUUGCCUUGUUGCUGGCGGUUCAAGGUAUCUCGGUUAAACCUUGCUUCUCCUGGACGGAUAAAAGCAGCAAAGACGUAACCUCCUGCCGCGUGCGCCAUUUUUACUUCUCCAUUCUUCUUAACCUCACGCGGCAAGGAAUCACCGACGCUUUAUUAUGUUGUCACUUUGCAGUAGUAAAUAAAAUAAAUAUAUGACCCUAAC